GGGAGAAUUCACACUGAAGAAACAAUGAAGAAACUUUAUGAAGAAUUAAACUACCCAUCAGAAUAUUUUGGGUGAAUGAAGCAAGCAAAAAUAAACAGGCACUAAAGAGACUCCCAAAUGCUAAGCUACCUCUAGCAUUGUGUGCAUCAACCUUAUCAUCUAGGUGGACGUCCCUGGAAAAUAUACUGCCAAGAGUCUUUCUAGAGAAGGGCAUCUAAAAAGGGAGAGAAACAGGAAUUGCUCAUAUGCAGUUUGAAGUGCCCGGCUAUUCAAUACAACCAGUUAGCAUCUCUGAGUUUGCUAAAGGGCUCGGUUCACCUUCGUCAUUGAUCCU
Vombatus ursinus (common wombat) is the source of this 334-nucleotide long non-coding RNA. RefSeq lists it as uncharacterized. The transcript has 3 exons. The record is from RefSeq and is a predicted model, not a curated record. NCBI's taxonomy places the organism in Eukaryota, Metazoa, Chordata, Mammalia, Diprotodontia, Vombatidae.